GUGCCUGCUUUGACAGCACUUAUACUAAAAUUAGCACAAGACAGAUAAGAUUAGCACUGCCUCUGCUUGAGAAUGACACGCAAAAAGCGCAUAAACAGCAAUUAUGG
Molecule: small nuclear RNA, 107 nt
Organism: Mustela putorius furo (domestic ferret)
Lineage: Eukaryota; Metazoa; Chordata; Mammalia; Carnivora; Mustelidae
Source: Ensembl